AGAUUGAACGCUGGCGGCAGGCCUAACACAUGCAAGUCGAGCGGUAGAGAGGUGCUUGCACCUCUUGAGAGCGGCGGACGGGUGAGUAAUGCCUAGGAAUCUGCCUAGUGGUGGGGGAUAACGUUCGGAAACGGACGCUAAUACCGCAUACGUCCUACGGGAGAAAGCGGGGGACCUUCGGGCCUCGCGCCAUUAGAUGAGCCUAGGUCGGAUUAGCUAGUUGGUGAGGUAAUGGCUCACCAAGGCGACGAUCCGUAACUGGUCUGAGAGGAUGAUCAGUCACACUGGAACUGAGACACGGUCCAGACUCCUAACGGGGAGCAGCAGUGGGAAUAUUGGACAAUGGGCGAAAGCCUGAUCCAGCCAUGCCGCGUGUG
This 377-nucleotide ribosomal RNA is filed under the name uncultured soil bacterium. Its description in RNAcentral is "bacterial SSU rRNA". It matches the Rfam family "Bacterial small subunit ribosomal RNA", at positions 26 to 405 of the family's 1533-position model. The record is from RNAcentral.